UACGUAGGGUGCAAGCGUUGUCCGGAACUAUUGGGCGUAAAGAGCUCGUAGGCGGUUUGUCGCGUCUGCUGUGAAAACUCAGGGCUUAACCCUGAGCCUGCAGUGGGUACGGGCAGACUUGAGUGCGGCAGAGGAGACUGGAAUUCCUGGUGUAGCAGUGAAAUGCGUAGAUAUCAGGAGGAAUACCGAUGGCGAAGGCAGGUCUCUGGGCUGACACUGACGCUCAUGCACGAAAGCGUGGGGAGCAAACAGG
This 253-nucleotide ribosomal RNA is filed under the name uncultured bacterium. RNAcentral's name for it is "partial 16S ribosomal RNA". It matches the Rfam family "Bacterial small subunit ribosomal RNA", at positions 524 to 776 of the family's 1533-position model. The record is from RNAcentral.